Long non-coding RNA from Mustela erminea (ermine), 810 nucleotides. RefSeq lists it as uncharacterized. The transcript has 4 exons. The record is from RefSeq and is a predicted model, not a curated record. Lineage: Eukaryota; Metazoa; Chordata; Mammalia; Carnivora; Mustelidae.
CAGCCUGCAGAAGCCAAGUGCAGGGUCUGCACUUAGGAAUGUGCUCAGGAUAUUCGAAGGAGUCCACAGAUGUUAACAGUCUUCCACCUGCCCUGGCCCAUCCUCACUCAUGAAACUUCUCUUUCCAGACGACUAGGAUGAAAAGACCAAGCCCGGGGAAGUCACAAUUUACAGAAUGUGUCCUACCCGCUAUCCACGUCGAGGUGUAUAAUUACUCAUAGGAACUGGCUGGACAGAAUAAGCACAGACCUAUAGCCUAAGAAGUACCGAAAAAGGGGUCUUUACGGAAUGCCAAGGAGCAGACAGGAAGCGAGGAUUUUACUGGAGUCUGCUGCUUGGCAAACAUGGGCUCGCCCAUAUGUGAGAGGAGCGGCUGGACUACUGGAAAGGAGGCUGCUGUGUAAACUCUGAAAGACACCAACCAACCAGUCCCGAGAAAUACACCUGCACUCCAGCCAUCGGAUCCAUGAAGCCAAGCAACCAUCAGAAAGGGGAAAAUAACAUUUUCUAUAGAAACCUCAUCUGAGAGAGUGGAGCCAGAGUUCAGUUAUAUCUGAUUUUCAUUUCUUUACAGGGUUAAAAGGAAAUAAAUGACUACUGUGGUGAAUAUACCUGCCUUUAUGGAAAUGAGGACACCUACCACAAUUAUACCACCAGCUACAGCUACAACAUGGCCCUCUUCAGAGAGAGACGGUAACACAGAUCUGCUCAGCAAGAACAAGAUGGCCUAAUAGAAUGAAAUCCUUCCCAAGGUCCAAGAUCCAACUCUAGCCCCUUUCCCCUGAGGCCAUUCCUGAUGCUCCCACAUGG